RNAcentral lists this unclassified non-coding RNA (1412 nucleotides) under Hevea brasiliensis (rubber tree). Lineage: Eukaryota; Viridiplantae; Streptophyta; Magnoliopsida; Malpighiales; Euphorbiaceae. The record is from RNAcentral.
GUGAAGCAACAUGCCUAUUUAUAACAGUUAACUAGAUAGAAAAUUAACACACACAUACACUAGCUAGCUUCUUCUUCUUGAGUCAAGUGUACCCAGCUGCUCUUAAUCACCCUGCUCCAUUUCUAGUUAUUUGCCUCGGCCUCCUCUUCCAUUUCCUUUUCAAUUCCAAGACUGGUGCAUUUCUUUCUUCUCUUUUACUAACAUUUUAUUGUACGUGUUUACCUUGCAGUUUUGAACAAAAGCGAGUGAAAAGAUGGACUCCGGAAUUGGCUACAGAUUCCAUCCAACCGAUGAAGAAUUGGUGAAUCAUUACCUGAGGCUGAAGAUGCUUGGUUACGAUCAUGAAGUCCAAGAGAUCCCGGACGUUAAUGUCUUGGAUUUUGAACCUUGGGACUUGCCUCGUAAGCAUAGUAUUCUGUUUCUGUUUCCUUCAUUUAUUGGUAAUUUCUCCUUGGCCUUGCACAAUAUUUUAUAGCAAGUAAUUGCAAUGCAGAUAUCGAGCAUCCGGAGGUGGUGAUAUCUUAUAACCCAAAUGACCAAGUGUGGUAUUUCUUUUGCCCUCGCAAAUACAGGAACUCAAAUAGUCACAAGGCGAAAAGGACGACGAAUGCUGGAUACUGGAAGGUCACAAGCAAGGAUCGUAAAAUCAACGAGAAUUGUAUAAAAAAGAAUUUGGUUUUCUAUCAAGGUCGUCAUAAAGGGGAGAAGACCAACUGGAUCAUGCAUGAGUACAAUCCCACCUUCAACUUCCCAACCCAGGUUCUGAUGUCAUUUCUAAGUCACUCUAGUUUAUACUUCAUAUUGCAGAGUCUCAUACAAUAUUUCAAUACUUGUGUAGAGGGAUUUCGUUCUUUGCAAAUUGAAGAAGAAGCCAGAUGAUUCAGAUGAUAUGCCAACCUUGGCAGAAGGUGAUCAAUCCAGUACCGUGGUGGCUUCUGCUUCCGCUUCUGGAAACAAUAUAACAGAGGAAGACUCUCAGCUACAAGCAUAUAUGGAAUCAUUUAAUGGCAUCGAUGAAACGGAUUUCAAUCUUAACUACGCACUGCAGUGGCCGACUUACAAUUAUAAUUAAGAAUUUGCACAUGUAUUUGGAAGGGCGUUGCUGAUGCCGCGCGUAGGUAGUUAUGGUUCCUUUUCAGCUACGAGAAGCGAAGAAUAAGUUCAACUUAAUGCAGCAUCUGCUGUUAUAUAUGUCAUAUGUGUAUCAGAGGUGUACUACGUUGCAUGAGAUUUUCUGUUAAAAGUUUUAUAUGUAUUUCCUUCCUGUUUGUUUGCUCUAUGUAAGCCUACGUGCUUGUUUGUUUGUUCUAUGUAAAUGUUUGAUUGUUCUAUGUAAGCGGUAAGCCUAUGUUAUAUAUAUGGGUUUCCUUGUUCAAUUUGGAUUGUUUAAUGCAAUAGUUAUAAGCAUUGGC